Molecule: non-coding RNA, 1764 nt
Organism: Rattus norvegicus (Norway rat)
Lineage: Eukaryota; Metazoa; Chordata; Mammalia; Rodentia; Muridae
Source: RefSeq, a predicted model, not a curated record
UGUUUAAAUUUCUUAUUCAUUUAUUCGUUUAUCUAUUUAUUUAGGCCAAGUCCCAACUGCAGUCCCCUGAACCCAUGCACCCUUGUUUUGCCUCACCCAUCUCUCUCUGGAGCCACCUGGUGCCUUUGCCAGCCUCUGUGAUGGAAACCGGUGAGACCUUCUCAGCUGUCCCUGGCUGGGAUGCUAGACAGGCGCUGGCCUGGCCCUUCUGGCUGGCUCUGAGGUUCCUCCCUCCCUCCCUCCCACCUUCCCACCCUCCCUUCCUCCCAAUUUAGCCUUCUGCUGCACACUCAUACCCAGCCUGCUGUUCUGGGACCAGGCCAUCCUCCAACCCUGGCUGCUCUGUUUCACCUCCCCCUCCCUCUCUGGUGUCACCCAGCACUGGCUGGCUGGCUUCAUGGCUGCCUACUCUGCAGACAAGUCCCCAUGCAUCACCUUGGGACAGGAGACAGAAAAUCUCUUUACACCCGCAGGGGUGAAUUAGCUGCCUUUGAAGCUCUGCUUGGCAGGGUGCGUGUAAUCUCUGAAUCAAAGCAUGAGAGAGCGAGCAGGGGACUUCGCUUGUGGCAGAGCGCUCUGGCCCAGUAAACUGCAUGCUCGCUCCCGUCAUGAUGAUGCCACAGUUCGUCUACAGCAGGUGGGGCAGGACAUGGAGGCUGAGUGUCCAACCCCUUGGGGAUAGUAAGUGGUGACGGAGACUCCAAAGAACGCAUGACCAGAAUCAGAUGACGUUCUACCCCUGCUUUGCCAGCCAGGACAUCACCGUGACAACUUCUCACCUCUGUCAUUGCACAGGAAGAGCAGCGAGAGACAAUCUGCCCAUGAAUGUUCAUGGCCCUGUUCCAAUAAAUCUUUAUUUACAGGGACAGAUGGUGGGCCAGAUUGCCCUGGUUGUUUUCUUGUGGUGAAAACUUUUUAUUCAAUGGAAUUUUGCUUGAAACUCAUGGGUUUCUGGAGCAGUUUGAGAAUCAAGAGACUUAGCCAAUUUUCCAAGACAUUCCCACCACCUAAGUCAAUUCAUUCAUUCAUUCAUUCAUUCAUUCAUUUACCUACCUCAUACCUGGUGCCCAACCAGGAACCACAAGGGGAUAACAAUCUACCUAACAGAUUCUAAAAAAUAAUUUCAAAAUACGAUUUGAUUUUCUGUUUUAUUCUUUUUUUUUUUUUUUUUUCGGAGCUGGGGACCGAACCCAGGGGAUUUUCUGUUUUAGAUAGAGUCCUGGCCAGCCUAAAACUGACAGAGGUCUGUCUCCCAAGUGCUAAUAUUAAAUUCGUGUGCCAUAACAGGCUGGGUUUUUUUUUAAAGAUCGCUUUAUUUUAUUCCUAUAUCUAUAUAUGUACACAUAUGUGAUGGUUUGAUUUUAUUUUAUAUGUAUGUGUCUUGCCUGCAUGUGCAGUGCAGCAGAGGCCAGAAGAGAGCAGCAAAUCCCCCAGAUCUGGAGUUACAGACAGUUGUGAGCAGCCAUAUGGUUGCUGGGAACAGAACCUCGGUCCUCUGGAAGAGUAGCCAGUGCUCUCAGCCACUGAGACAUUUCUCCAGCCAGCCUUCUGUAUAUAUAUAAUUUCUUAUGAUCUUUAUUAGUCUAAGAAAUUUGUUCUACAUGACUAUGAUUAUUUGCAAACAGAUCAUUAACACACCUAAGUGUCACACAAUCUCAAUUUUGCUCUAAGCAUCUUCUGUCCAGAAACAGCCACACAGUGUGCAAAACGUAAACAGGCUCCUUUGUUCAAACAGGCCUGAGAAUUCAGAGGCAGAGCACCACA